This 377-nucleotide unclassified non-coding RNA is filed under the name uncultured Pseudomonadota bacterium. RNAcentral describes it as "uncultured proteobacterium contains 16S-23S intergenic spacer region". Lineage: Bacteria; Pseudomonadati; Pseudomonadota. The record is from RNAcentral.
UCCGGUUUGUCACCGGCAGUCUCCCUAGAGUUCCCGACCGAAUCGCUGGCAAAUAGGGACAAGGGUUGCGCUCGUUACGGGACUUAACCCAACAUUUCACAACACGAGCUGACGACAGCCAUGCAGCACCUGUAUGAAAGUCAGUACCAUCCCGUUAAGGACUGGUUUUGUUGUUCAUAUGUCAAGGGCUGGUAAGGUUUUGCGCGUUGUAUCGAAUUAAACCACAUGCUCCACCGCUUGUGCAGGCCCCCGUCAAUUCCUUUGAGUUUUAGCCUUGCGGCCGUACUCCCCAGGCGGGGAACUUAAUGCGUUAGCUGCGACACCAGGAGGGUCAAAGCUCCUGACAUCUAGCACUCAUCGUUUACGGCGUGGACUAC